RNAcentral lists this unclassified non-coding RNA (239 nucleotides) under Hevea brasiliensis (rubber tree). The record is from RNAcentral. Lineage: Eukaryota; Viridiplantae; Streptophyta; Magnoliopsida; Malpighiales; Euphorbiaceae.
AUCUACCAAUAACCGAGGGAUCAAAAAUGCUAUUAACGCGUAGUUUACCUCGAUAACAAUGUCAAUACCAAGUUCAGCCCAUGGAAGCUUAAGAGGAUCCCUGCUAGAGACAACUUUAAUGUUCUUUCCAUCAACACUAAUAGUUUCAUUAUCCACUAUUUUCACAUCAGCCUUGAAUGUUCCCAACAUGGAAUCAUACUUAAGCAAGUGAGAUGCCUGCAUUAACAUAAUAUUUGCAA